UUUGUUUAAUUGAUUUUGUCAAAAUACUCUCCUUAUCUCUUGUAACAAACUAGCGAAAUGAUUGAAUCUGAGGAUCGUAGUCAACUUUAUCGAUAGGCUAUUUGAACUUAAUUUAAAGUCUUUUCAAAGCUCAUAAACCAACCUUGAAGUCAGCCACAUCGUAUCUCUUCGUACUAUUUGUGUGUUUUGCUCAAAACAAUCACCAGCGCGCCACCAUAAACGAAGUCCGACGACCUUCCAUCACGGCAAUCAGCGUUCCGUUUCGACGUAACGUAACGGUCCCUGGAUAAUCGAUCGUUUCCGUUCAUGUCAUUGAGCCAUCUUCGUUUGCUUUUUCUAAGCGGCAGCGGACCUCAGACAUAUUGUUAGAAGAUCUUUGUUGAAUCUCCAUUAUUUUGGUCAACUAUCCUUCUCUAUGGCCGUUGCUUUAACCCGGUUCGAUAGCUCUAGUCGGUUGUCUUUAAUAAACUCCCAUCAGCUUCUAAGGUUUGCCUACAUAUAAUGGACGAUUUCGUUUUUGUUUUGUGUUGCUUGCUGAAAUAAGGUGCUCCUGAAGAAAACUGAAUGUCAACUAAAGGAAUAUCGGAGUAGCCUGGCACUAGAGGAGAAGGCUACUCGUCCCUGCCACUGAGAAACACGGAGUUAGUAUGUUUGUGUACGUAAGUAAACCAUAUUUCAAAAAUCCUAAAAACUGAAAAAAUUAAAAAUUAAAAAUAUGUUUGUUUUUAAAUUUGUCAAAAAUUCAAAAAAAAAAUUCAAAAAUAUGUUGAUUGA
RNAcentral lists this long non-coding RNA (774 nucleotides) under Helianthus annuus (common sunflower). Its description in RNAcentral is "sRNA HanXRQr2_Chr16g0776991". Lineage: Eukaryota; Viridiplantae; Streptophyta; Magnoliopsida; Asterales; Asteraceae. The record is from RNAcentral.